This is a long non-coding RNA of Columba livia (rock pigeon), 286 nucleotides long. RefSeq lists it as uncharacterized. The transcript has 3 exons. Lineage: Eukaryota; Metazoa; Chordata; Aves; Columbiformes; Columbidae. The record is from RefSeq and is a predicted model, not a curated record.
AAGCAGGGUACAAGUUACGGUGGAGAUUUCACCAGCAUCAGCCCAGAGGUAGGAUGGGAGCAGAGAGCGAUGUCCAUGGAGAUCCUGAUCUGAUCGAUGUGACAGCACAGGGCAGGGAAUUAAUGUUCCACCUCUGCUGAGUGACAGGAGAAGGCAAGUCCUCACUGGAAGAGCACGUGUUGGUACUGCCCGAUAAAAGGGAUGGAUGGGAGCUGACAGCAGCAGGGACAAGCACUCCUGCACUUUCUGAAUAAAUAAAUCGGUUUUGGAAUGAUUUUUGCCUUAG